This 344-nucleotide unclassified non-coding RNA is filed under the name soil metagenome. Its description in RNAcentral is "partial contains 5.8S ribosomal RNA, internal transcribed spacer 2, and large subunit ribosomal RNA". The stretch from base 1 to 121 matches the Rfam family "5.8S ribosomal RNA", at positions 35 to 154 of the family's 154-position model. The record is from RNAcentral.
GAUGAAGAACGUAGCGAAAUGCGAUAAGUAAUGCGAAUUGCAGAAUUUCCGUGAGUCAUCGAAUCUUUGAACGCACAUUGCGCCCACUGGUAUUCCGGUGGGCAUGCCUGUUCGAGCGUCAUUAUCCUCCCUCAAACCCCGGGUUUGGUGUUGGACCCAAGUUGUGUGAACAACUGGUCUCAAAGACAAUGACGGCGUCCGUGGGACCCUCGGUGCAACGAGCUUUUAGGAGCACGCAUCGAGUUGCAAGGACCUUCCGGGCCGGUCUCCUUUACCAUUUUACAAGGUUGACCUCGGAUCAGGUAGGAAUACCCGCUGAACUUAAGCAUAUCAUAAGCGGAGGA